This 270-nucleotide long non-coding RNA is filed under the name Mytilus galloprovincialis (Mediterranean mussel). The record is from RNAcentral. Lineage: Eukaryota; Metazoa; Mollusca; Bivalvia; Mytilida; Mytilidae.
GUUAUUGCACACGAUCAACCUAACGACAUUGAUUGUUAGAUGUUGGGUAUUAGUUAUUGCACACGAUCAACCAAACGACAUUGAUUGUUAGAUGUUGGGUAUUAGUUAUUGCACACAAUCAACCAAACAACAUUGAUUGUUAGAUGUUGGGUAUUAGUUAUUGCACACGAUCAACCAAACGACAUUGAUUGUAAGAUGUUGGGUAUUAGUUAUUGCACACGAUCAACCAAACGACAUUGAUUGUUAGAUGUUGGGUAUUAGUUAUUGCAC